RNAcentral lists this transfer-messenger RNA (404 nucleotides) under Flavobacteriaceae bacterium Ap0902. It matches the Rfam family "transfer-messenger RNA". Rfam says of the family: Bacterial tmRNA, also known as 10Sa RNA or SsrA, is named for its dual tRNA and mRNA-like properties. Its role is to liberate the mRNA from a stalled ribosome. Lineage: Bacteria; Pseudomonadati; Bacteroidota; Flavobacteriia; Flavobacteriales; Flavobacteriaceae. RNAcentral also lists the same sequence under 1 other name. The record is from Rfam by way of RNAcentral.
GGGGCUGACUGGUUUUGACAGCAAGCCGAAAUGGUAAGUAAGCAUGUCGUGAAAUGUUGUGUACUCACGUAAAUCAGACACUUCAACUUUUUAACUGGCAACAACAAUUACGCUUUAGCGGCCUAAUUAGACUGAAUCACAGUAAGUCUUGGCGAUAUCCCUGCAAGGCAGGGACGUUAAAUGUCCUGCAGAGGCCCGAUCACCGUGGCGUCUGAGUUCAGGGCACAGAAAUACGGAGAUAGAGGAAUUGGUGUUUUGACUUUUCCUCGAAAUUAAUUAAAACUAAGGUGUAGUCAGGGAGUUUCAACCCAAUCUGCACACGAAAAUGAAAGAUGAAACUAAGCAUGUAGAAAUCUUAUGAUUUCCUUGUUUGGACGCGGGUCCGAAUCCCGCCAGCUCCACUA